AGCGAACGCUGGCGGCAGGCUUAACACAUGCAAGUCGAGCGGGCACUUUCGGGUGUCAGCGGCUGACGGGUGAGUAACGCGUGGGAACGUGCCCUCUGGUUCGGAAUAACUCAGGGAAACUUGAGCUAAUACCGGAUACGCCCUUUUGGGGAAAGGCUUGCUGCCGGAGGAUGGGCGCGCGCCUGAUUAGCUAGUUGGUGAGGUGACGGCUCACCAAGGCGGCGAUCAGUAGCUGGUCUGAGAGGAUGAUCAGCCACACUGGGACUGAGACACGGCCGAGACUCCUGCGGGAGGCAGCAGUGGGGAAUAUUGGACUAUGGGCGCAAGCCUGAUCCAGCCAUGCCGCGUGAGUGAUGAAGGCCUUAGGGUUGUAAAGCUCUUUUAUCCGGGACGAUAAUGACGGUACCGGAGGAAUAAGCCCCGGCUAACUUCGUG
RNAcentral lists this ribosomal RNA (435 nucleotides) under uncultured bacterium. RNAcentral's name for it is "partial 16S ribosomal RNA". It matches the Rfam family "Bacterial small subunit ribosomal RNA", at positions 29 to 507 of the family's 1533-position model. The record is from RNAcentral.